This 825-nucleotide ribosomal RNA is filed under the name Dicranoloma braunii. RNAcentral describes it as "eukaryotic LSU rRNA". The stretch from base 297 to 448 matches the Rfam family "5.8S ribosomal RNA". Lineage: Eukaryota; Viridiplantae; Streptophyta; Bryopsida; Dicranales; Dicranaceae. The record is from RNAcentral.
GAUCAUUGCACACACAAAGCUGUAGCAAACCUUGCGAGCGAACGUCGUGAUUGUCCCCUUGGCCGGUUUCGGGGGGUGGAGCGGGCGCUGCUCGCUGCGUCGCGGAGCCGGCCGACCCCCCAGGGAGUUUCCCUCCGUCGGGGGCACAAACUGCUCCCUGGGGGCAAAACCCAACCCCGAUUGCGCAAUGCAUCAACAAUUUGGAUAACGACUGAGCAUGAAAAAGCGAGGGGUGUAUGGGCGCUCCGGGUGACUGGAGCGCUCAUCACGAGUUGUAAUAUGGAAAAACACAAAACAACUCUCAGCAACGGAUAUCUGGCUCUUGCAACGAUGAAGAACGCAGCGAAAUGCGAUACGUAGUGUGAAUUGCAGAAUUCCGCGAAUCAUCGAGUCUUUGAACGCAAGUUGCGCCCGAGGCUUGACCAAGGGCAUCCCUGCCAGAGCGUCACCGCGACACCCCACCGAUCCGCUCCCAGCUAGCUCUGGGAGUGCGACCGAGUGAAGCUGGGCCAUCCGAAUGGGGGGCACACCACCCCCCCGGGACUUCGUGUGCCUUGGGGUGGGGUGGCAGAUUGGGUUGGCUGAAAUGGAGGCAAUUUGGCCGCCGUGGUGACACAGCCCGCGAUCAGGUGAUCCGGGUCUCAUCUUGGAACUACUUCUAGGUGUGGUGCUGUGUCUCCCAGUUGGUACGAUGAGGAUUCCAAAGCAGGUCCCGGACUCCCCCCCUGCGCCCCCGCACUCCCUGCCUUGCGCUCUGAGGGAGGGAGGAGAGGAGGGGAGUGUCCCGAGGUGUAACGUCACGCAUCAGACCUCUGAUCAGGGAAG